This is a long non-coding RNA of Esox lucius (northern pike), 1155 nucleotides long. Lineage: Eukaryota; Metazoa; Chordata; Actinopteri; Esociformes; Esocidae. The record is from Ensembl.
GUAUUUAGAUUUUUGCUCAAUUUAAAUAAUAUCAUGAUCUAUCUCGUUGGCCAGGAAUUGGCACUUUUCAAAAUGUCUUAACAUUCAGAUUUCUUUAAAAGUCUAUGUACUUCCGGGACCUGGCCGCUAAAAAAUUUGCGUUAACGUUCCAGCGUUCAUACAACUUAUUUUUAUCUAUCCCAACGUAUCCACUCAAUCUAUACUUCGUAAUGUAUUUGACUGCAACGUCAACCGAACAAGGAUCCCGCCGAGGCUGGUGACUCACUGUACUCCCGCGGUCGCUGACUGUAGACUGCCAGGUGUCAAAGCAGCAAAGAAAAAGUGGUAAGUGAGAAACAUGCAUUUUAUGUUUAGGAUAACGUUACUUUUUUAGACAGUACAUUAGCAGUUAGCUUACAUAGACAAAGUUCUGUCGGGAGUCUGGCUUAAAUUUUAACGAUGGGGGGAGGUGUGAUGCGCGCCGGUCAGAGCCCAUCAAGUUGGUGUGCCGAAUGAUUGAGACCGAUAUGAUGCUAACCAGUGUGGUUGAGGGCAAAGGAUUGAAAUACCUAGUUCAGUUCUUUGAGCUUGAGUACGUUAUGCCUUCGAAGGCUACUUUGAUUAUACGCUUUGAAAAACACUUUGAGAAGAAGGAUGAGCUAAAAGUCAAGAUAACCAAGGCAGAGAAGCUACCUCUGACCACUGACUUCUGGACAGCUUUCUGUGUUCAACAUGGCCACUGGCUUCCGAAGGUUGAAGUACGAAGACUUGAGUAAAAUGAUAGGGGCAAUGCACAAAGAAGGGCAAUACAGAGAGUCAAACAAUUGAUUGAAAAUGAGCAGGAAAGGGGAGCGAUGGUGGAUGCCAAGUGUUUUUGUUGAUGAUUCAGAGGAUUCUGAGAUGCAAGUGAGGAGGAGGAAAGUGAUCAGGGUCUUAAUGUUGAGGACAAGGAACUAGAUGAAGAGACUGUAUUUCUCUAAUGGCUCUGUCAGCGCUUCUCAGCAUCCUUAAAAUCUACCAUCCCUCUCUGCCAAAAGAUGGACGAACGUUACCGAAGACAAAAACAAGAUACAACAUUAACAAUGUAGCUGGUGGCGUGUUUCAAUAUUGUGGAAUUCUGAAUUAUAUUGGGAAAAUCUUAAAUAAAGUGUGGUUUACUGUGCCAGACAGACAUGC